This is a long non-coding RNA of Asparagus officinalis (garden asparagus), 362 nucleotides long. RefSeq lists it as uncharacterized. The transcript has 2 exons. Lineage: Eukaryota; Viridiplantae; Streptophyta; Magnoliopsida; Asparagales; Asparagaceae. The record is from RefSeq and is a predicted model, not a curated record.
ACAUGGUCGCAAAGCCGAUCCUAUUGAGAUGUUUUAUAUAGUGCACAAACGGCGAGAUGAAAACAAAAGUUGGAUAGAUGAUGCAUCGGAGGAAUUGGCAGUUAAGAUCUCACGGGAAUUAACGAGUUUGGUUGAAACCCAUGGCGAGGAAACAUAAGAACUAAGCAACAAGCUUAUGUAGCAGCAAGGGGUUUAGAAACUCGUGGUAGAGUUCGUGGUUAUGGAAGAGGGGUGACGCCAUACAUGAUUCCUUGGGUGGGACAAACUCAGCCAACAGCUUCAUCACUUUGAUCACGUACUGGGCGAGCAUAUGCUAAUUUGCAAUCUCAAUAUUCAGAACUUGAGGAAAAGUAUGAGCGACA